Molecule: ribosomal RNA, 455 nt
Filed under: Montenegrina skipetarica voidomatis
Lineage: Eukaryota; Metazoa; Mollusca; Gastropoda; Stylommatophora; Clausiliidae
Description: partial 16S ribosomal RNA
Rfam family: Bacterial large subunit ribosomal RNA
Source: RNAcentral
AAACAUAGCCGGUAGCUAUUAAAUUAUCGGUGAUACCUGCCCAGUGAAUUUUAACGGCCGCAGUACUAUGACUGUGCAAAGGUAGCAUAAUCAUUUGGCUUUUAAUUGAAGUCUAGGAUGAAAGGAUAAACGUAUUCAAGCUGUCUCGAUUAUAAAAUCUAUUAAAGUUAUUUAUAGGGUGAAAAUACCCUAACUAAGAAAAAAAGACGAGAAGACCCUUAGAAUUUUAAGCAUAGCCGAACCUAAAAACGGCGUGAUUUUUGUUGGGGCAACAUUUUUUCAUGAAAACAAAAAAUUAAUAUUUAGACUAUAAAACGAAUAAGGUUAAUAAAGUAUAAAUUACCUAAGGGAUAACAGCAUAAUUUUAAGUAAAGAUUGUGACCUCGAUGUUGGACUAGGGACUAUUAAGGCUAGUCGUUUUAAUAUAAUAGGUUCUGUUCGAACUUUACUCCCUA